AGAUUACUGCUAGUCCAAAUAUGUGGCUUUUGAUUUAAAUCAGCCUUUAUCAUGUCCCUUACACAUUCCAGGGCCAAAUUGAGAGGUCUGACAUAGUGCCCCACAAAGCAUGGUAGAUGUUGAACUGUAAACCCCAUGUGCUCAAGAGUGGAGCAAUUAUAAAUAUUUGUAGACUUUCCAUAAACAGCUGGGAAUUUGGCUAUGCAUAAAGAUUUUUUACUCAGCUAUCCCAUCUCUGGAAUGUGCUUAUUAUGUGAGCAUUCAGACAGUCCUGCAAUCCUCACCUGGUGUUCUUUGCACAGACCAUCUGCCCACCAGAGAUGAUGCAAAGGGAGAUGGUUCAAAACCAAGAAGACUUCCAUUUUGUAGUUCCUCUCUUUAGAAGUAAAAAAGCAGGAGAUGUGCUCCAGCCCUGGGCUCAAGUUAAUGACUCCCUCCUCAACUUGCUCCAACAUGUCUACAUCUUUCUCGUGCUCUGGUUCCCAGUCCUGAACACAGUACUCCAGCUGGGGUCUCACUAGAGCAGAGUACAGGGAGAGAAUCACCUCCUUUGAUGUGCUGGCCACACUGCUUUUGAUGCAGCCCAGGAUGCAGACAGCUUUUUUCACUUCUAGCACACACUGCUGAGUCAUGUCAAGAUUUUCAUGUACCGGCAGCCCUAGGUCUGUCUCCCCAGCCCUAGUCUCUUUCCAUUCUCUGCCCAGCCUAAAGCUGUUUCUGGGACUGCGCCAAACCAAGUGCAGGACCUCACACUUGGCAUUGUUGAACUUCAUCAGGAUGACCUGGGCCCACCUCUCAAGCCUGACAAGGUCCCUCUGGGUGUUAUUCCUUCCCUCCAGUGUGUUGAUCGCAUCACACACCUGAGUGUCAUCAGAGUCAUUAGUGAACUCACUGAGGGUGCACUGAAACCCACUUUCCAUGUCAGCAAUAAAGAUGUUAAAAAGCACCAGUCCAAACACUGAGCCCUGGGGAACACCACUUGGCACUGCUUUCCAUUUGGACAUUGCUCCACUGACUUCAGCACUUUGAGCAUGAUCAUCCAGCCAAUUCUUUAUCCACCCAGUGGCCCACUCAUCAGAUCCACGUCUCUCCAUUUUAGAGACAUAGAUGUCCUGUGGGACAGUGCCCUUGUUCAAGUCCAGGGAGAUGAUGCCUGUUGCCCUUCCCUCAUCCACCACUGCUGUAACCCUAUCAUAGGAGGCCAAGAAAUUUGUCAGGCAUGAUUCAACUUUAGUCAUGCCAUAUUGGCUGUUACCAGUCAUCUCAUUAUGUUCCUUGUGCCUUAGCAGAGUUUCCAGGAGGAGCUUCUCCAUGAUCUUGCCAGACACUGGCGGGAGACUGACUGACCUGUCGUUCCCUGGUUCUUCCUUAUCUCCCUUUUUAAAAAUGGGCAUUAUGUUUCCCUUUUUCAAGGCAGUGGGAACUCCACCAGAUUGCCAUGACUUCUCAAAUAUGUUGGAUAGUGGCAUAGCCACUUCCUCAGCCAGUUCUUUCAGUACCCAUGGUAGUAUCUUGUCAGGUCCCAUGGACUUGUACACCUUCAGGUUCCUUAAACGGGUUUGAACUUGGUCUUUUCCUGCAAUGGGUGGAGAAGAAAAAUGGAACAACUUAGUUUAUUCUUAAUACAGAGCAAGAAUCAAGCCAAAGGGAACACAAGGGCCACAAUUUGAGCAAGAACAUAUUUUUCCCUUUGAGAAUAAGCAAUUCAGACAAAGAAAAAGGCU
Molecule: non-coding RNA, 1724 nt
Organism: Zonotrichia albicollis (white-throated sparrow)
Lineage: Eukaryota; Metazoa; Chordata; Aves; Passeriformes; Passerellidae
Source: RefSeq, a predicted model, not a curated record